GCUAGGCAAGAUGUUGGCAUAGCUGAAUGAUCGCUAUAACAACUAUCAGCUUCGCCACAUUCUGCCACGCA
Molecule: microRNA precursor, 71 nt
Organism: Caenorhabditis elegans
Lineage: Eukaryota; Metazoa; Nematoda; Chromadorea; Rhabditida; Rhabditidae
Rfam family: mir-72 microRNA precursor family
Source: Rfam